AGUGAACGCUGGCGGUAGGCCUAACACAUGCAAGUCGAACGGCAGCACAGUAAGAGCUUGCUCUUACGGGUGGCGAGUGGCGGACGGGUGAGGAAUACAUCGGAAUCUACUUUUUCGUGGGGGAUAACGUAGGGAAACUUACGCUAAUACCGCAUACGGCCUACGGGUGAAAGCAGGGGAUCUUCGGACCUUGCGCGAUUGAAUGAGCCGAUGUCGGAUUAGCUAGUUGGCGGGGUAAAGGCCCACCAAGGCGACGAUCCGUAGCUGGUCUGAGAGGAUGAUCAGCCACACUGGAACUGAGACACGGUCCAGACUCCUACGGGAGGCAGCAGUGGGGAAUAUUGGACAAUGGGCGCAAGCCUGAGCCAGCCAUACCGCGUGGGUGAAGAAGGCCUUCGGGUUGUAAAGCCCUUUUGUUGGGAAAGAAAAGCAGCAGGUUAAUACCCCGCUGUUCUGACGGUACCCAAAGAAUAAGCACCGGCUAACUUCGU
Molecule: ribosomal RNA, 491 nt
Filed under: uncultured bacterium
Lineage: Bacteria
Description: partial 16S ribosomal RNA
Rfam family: Bacterial small subunit ribosomal RNA
Source: RNAcentral